AAUGAAGUGCCUGAUUAAAAGGGCUAUCUUGAUAGGAUAGAUUAUGUGGGUCACCACCUUCAUUA
Molecule: transfer RNA, 65 nt
Filed under: Perlesta teaysia
Lineage: Eukaryota; Metazoa; Arthropoda; Insecta; Plecoptera; Perlidae
Description: tRNA-Ile
Source: RNAcentral